RNAcentral lists this unclassified non-coding RNA (20 nucleotides) under Chlamydomonas reinhardtii. RNAcentral describes it as "small RNA Cre_3081". The record is from RNAcentral. Lineage: Eukaryota; Viridiplantae; Chlorophyta; Chlorophyceae; Chlamydomonadales; Chlamydomonadaceae.
UGCGAGCGUGGGGCAGGGGG